CCCACAUUGAGCUGAUAUAAAGAGGUGGUC
Molecule: non-coding RNA, 30 nt
Filed under: Rattus norvegicus (Norway rat)
Lineage: Eukaryota; Metazoa; Chordata; Mammalia; Rodentia; Muridae
Source: RNAcentral